CGCGCCUACGGGACGCAGCAGUGAGGAAUAUUGGUCAAUGGUCGGGAGACUGAACCAGCCAAGCCGCGUGAGGGAUGAAGGUACUGAGUAUCGUAAACCUCUUUUGUCAGGGAACAAAGGCGGGGACGUGUCCCCGGAUGAGUGUACCUGAAGAAAAAGCCUCGGCUAACUCCGUGCCAGCAGCCGCGGUAAUACGGAGGAUGCGUGCGUUAUCCGGAUUUAUUGGGUUUAAAGGGUGCGCAGGCGGUCCGU
Molecule: ribosomal RNA, 252 nt
Filed under: uncultured bacterium
Lineage: Bacteria
Description: partial 16S ribosomal RNA
Rfam family: Bacterial small subunit ribosomal RNA
Source: RNAcentral